Triticum aestivum (bread wheat) is the source of this 125-nucleotide non-coding RNA. NCBI's taxonomy places the organism in Eukaryota, Viridiplantae, Streptophyta, Magnoliopsida, Poales, Poaceae. The record is from Rfam.
AUUAUACUUCCUCUGUCCGGAAAUACUUGUUGAAGAAAUAAAUAAAAAUAGAUGUAUCUAGAACUAAAAUACAUCUAGAUACAUCUAUUUCUUCGAUAAGUAUUUCCAAACGGGGAGAGUACGUU